Molecule: small RNA, 132 nt
Filed under: Escherichia coli
Lineage: Bacteria; Pseudomonadati; Pseudomonadota; Gammaproteobacteria; Enterobacterales; Enterobacteriaceae
Description: RtT sRNA
Rfam family: RtT RNA
About the family: This family represents a bacterial cis-regulatory element known as RtT RNA. The exact function of RtT is unknown although it is thought that it may be involved in changing the cellular response in relation to amino acid starvation.
Source: RNAcentral
GUUUCCACUCAUCGGGGAAGGGUGAGAACCUUCGACUAAGGUUCGAUUCGAGCGAAAGCGAGAGAACGUUGCCACAGGCAACGGCCCGAAGGGUGAGGAGCGAAGCGACGAAUAAUCCUUCCCCCACCACCA